UGGGGAAUCUUGCGCAAUGCGCGAAAGCGUGACGCAGCAACGCCGCGUGGGGGAAGAAGGCCCUCGGGUUGUAAACCCCUUUCAGGGGGGACGAAGGUAAGGCCGGUGAACAGCCGGUCGGACUGACGGUACCCCCAGAAGAAGCUCCGGCUAACUACGUGCCAGCAGCCGCGGUAAUACGUAGGGGGCAAGCGUUGUCCGGAAUCAUUGGGCGUAAAGCGCGCGUAGGCGGCCCGGUAAGUCCGCUGUGAAAGUCCAGGGCUCAACCCUGGAAAGCCGGUGGAUACUGCCGGGCUAGAGUCCGGAAGAGGCGAGUGGAAUUCCUGGUGUAGCGGUGGAAUGCGCAGAUAUCAGGAGGAACACCAAUAGCGAAGGCAGCUCGCUGGGACGGUACUGACGCUGAGGUGCGAAAGCGUGGGGAGCAAACAGGAUUAGAUACCCCCGUAGUCC
This 450-nucleotide ribosomal RNA is filed under the name uncultured bacterium. Its description in RNAcentral is "bacterial SSU rRNA". It matches the Rfam family "Bacterial small subunit ribosomal RNA", at positions 355 to 796 of the family's 1533-position model. The record is from RNAcentral.